RNAcentral lists this ribosomal RNA (407 nucleotides) under uncultured bacterium. RNAcentral describes it as "partial 16S ribosomal RNA". It matches the Rfam family "Bacterial small subunit ribosomal RNA", at positions 30 to 526 of the family's 1533-position model. The record is from RNAcentral.
AUUGAACGCUAGCGGGAUGCCUUACACAUGCAAGUCGAACGGAGUGGCGAACGGGUGAGUAAUGCCUAGGAAUCUGCCUGUUAGUGGUGGAUAACGUCCGGCAACGGGCGCUAAUACCGCUUCCUAUCACAUGAGCCUAGGUCGGAUUAGCUAGUUGGGGGGGUAAAGGCCUCCCAAGGCGACGACCCGUAACUGGUCUGAGAGGAUGAUCAGUCACACUGGAACGGAGACACGGUCCAGACUCCUACGGGAGGCAGCAGGGGGGAAUAUUGGACAAUGGGCGAAAGCCUGAUCCAGCCAUGCCGCGUGUGUGAAGAAGGUCUUCGGAUUGUAAAGCACUUUAAGUUGGGAGGCGUUACCAACAGAAUAAGCACCGGCUAACUUCGUGCCAGCCGCCGCGGUAAUUC